This 207-nucleotide ribosomal RNA is filed under the name uncultured bacterium. RNAcentral describes it as "partial 16S ribosomal RNA". It matches the Rfam family "Bacterial small subunit ribosomal RNA", at positions 568 to 774 of the family's 1533-position model. The record is from RNAcentral.
CGCGUAGGCGGCCAUCUAAGUCAGACGUGAAAUCCCCCGGCUUAACCUGGGAACUGCGUCUGAUACUGGACGGCUUGAGUAUGGGAGAGGGAUGUAGAAUUCCAGGUGUAGCGGUGAAAUGCGUAGAUAUCUGGAGGAAUACCGGUGGCGAAGGCGGCAUCCUGGACCAUUACUGACGCUGAUGCGCGAAAGCUAGGGGAGCAAACG